UUUUAUUACCCUCUUUUAUUAUCUUCUAUUUAAUAUAUCUCUUUCAUUUAAAUCAUCAUUCUGAACAUACCUCGUAUAUUCAUACUCUCCAAAUAUCUGUAUUUUCAAUACGGAACAUGCCGCUACUUCAUAGUACUUGGUUGUCAUUUUAAACGUCGUUUUCAAUGACAGUGUCACUUCAUCGACUUGACCCCCUACUCCCUGACAUACACUGGAAGGGAAAAAUUAAUCCUUAAAAAGGCAUGUAAUUCGAAAAAUAAAUCAUUUCUAUUUCAACAAAUCAUCUUCCUCUUGGGUUUUUUGGAAAGAAACCACUUUUCUCCCUCCGGGAGUUUCAACAACCCUCAAAUCGCCGGCGAUACAACAACGAGGACCAUGACAUCCAGACUGCACAACCACCACCUCUAGCUGCAGGGGCCUUGGGCCGAAGAUCCGCCCAGGCCUACGAGAAGUCUACAACAGCAGUACCAUACGACAUCAAGAAGAUACCAUCAGCUACCAAAAGCCAUAAGUAUAAUCCAGAAUUGUUAGUUUUUGGCAAGAAUUUAAAUACAUUUGUUAAUGCAAUUUACUAAGUCAUUUUAUUUAUUAUAUCUUUAUGAACAAUAAACAUGAUUAGUUAAAAACUA
This is a long non-coding RNA of Diabrotica virgifera virgifera (western corn rootworm), 629 nucleotides long. RefSeq lists it as uncharacterized. The record is from RefSeq and is a predicted model, not a curated record. NCBI's taxonomy places the organism in Eukaryota, Metazoa, Arthropoda, Insecta, Coleoptera, Chrysomelidae. The transcript has 2 exons.